This 253-nucleotide ribosomal RNA is filed under the name uncultured bacterium. RNAcentral describes it as "partial 16S ribosomal RNA". It matches the Rfam family "Bacterial small subunit ribosomal RNA", at positions 524 to 776 of the family's 1533-position model. The record is from RNAcentral.
UACGUAGGGUGCGAGCGUUAAUCGGAAUUACUGGGCGUAAAGCGUGCGCAGGCGGUUUUGUAAGACAGAUGUGAAAUCCCCGGGCUUAACCUGGGAACUGCAUUUGUGACUGCAAGACUAGAGUGCGGCAGAGGGGGGUAGAAUUCCACGUGUAGCAGUGAAAUGCGUAGAUAUGCGGAGGAACACCGAUGGCGAAGGCAAUCCCCUGGGCCUGCACUGACGCUCAUGCACGAAAGCGUGGGGAGCAAACAGG